RNAcentral lists this transfer RNA (85 nucleotides) under Candidatus Sodaliphilus fimicaballi. RNAcentral describes it as "tRNA-Ser". It matches the Rfam family "tRNA". From Rfam's summary of the family: Transfer RNA (tRNA) molecules are approximately 80 nucleotides in length. Their secondary structure includes four short double-helical elements and three loops (D, anti-codon, and T loops). Further hydrogen bonds mediate the characteristic L-shaped molecular structure. tRNAs have two regions of fundamental functional importance: the anti-codon, which is responsible for specific mRNA codon recognition, and the 3' end, to which the tRNAs corresponding amino acid is attached (by aminoacyl-tRNA synthetases). tRNAs cope with the degeneracy of the genetic code in two manners: having more than one tRNA (with a specific anti-codon) for a particular amino acid; and 'wobble' base-pairing, i.e. permitting non-standard base-pairing at the 3rd anti-codon position. RNAcentral also lists the same sequence under 1 other name. The record is from RNAcentral. Lineage: Bacteria; Pseudomonadati; Bacteroidota; Bacteroidia; Bacteroidales; Muribaculaceae.
GGAAAGAUGCCGGAGUGGUCGAUCGGGGCGGUCUCGAAAACCGUUGUACCUUCGGGUACCGUGGGUUCGAAUCCCUCUCUUUCCG